UACGUAGGGGGCAAGCGUUGUUCGGAUUCAUUGGGCGUAAAGGGUGCGUAGGUGGCGUGGUAAGUCGGGUGUGAAAUUUCGGAGCUUAACUCCGAAACUGCAUUCGAUACUGCCGUGCUUGAGGACUGGAGAGGAGACUGGAAUUUACGGUGUAGCAGUGAAAUGCGUAGAGAUCGUAAGGAAGACCAGUGGCGAAGGCGGGUCUCUGGACAGUUCCUGACACUGAGGCACGAAGGCCAGGGGAGCAAACGGG
RNAcentral lists this ribosomal RNA (253 nucleotides) under uncultured bacterium. RNAcentral describes it as "partial 16S ribosomal RNA". It matches the Rfam family "Bacterial small subunit ribosomal RNA", at positions 524 to 776 of the family's 1533-position model. The record is from RNAcentral.